Molecule: unclassified non-coding RNA, 239 nt
Filed under: Pseudeurotium sp.
Lineage: Eukaryota; Fungi; Ascomycota; Leotiomycetes; Thelebolales; Pseudeurotiaceae
Description: partial contains small subunit ribosomal RNA, internal transcribed spacer 1, and 5.8S ribosomal RNA
Rfam family: Eukaryotic small subunit ribosomal RNA (bases 1-46)
Source: RNAcentral
AAGUCGUAACAAGGUUUCCGUAGGUGAACCUGCGGAAGGAUCAUUAAAGAGACGUUGCCCUUCGGGGUAUACCUCCCACCCUUUGUUUAUACAUACCUUUGUUGCUUUGGCAGGCCCGGCUUCGGCCCACCGGCUCCGGCUGGUCCGCGUCUGCCAGAGGAAACCCAAACUCUGUUUGUUAAUAUUGUCUGAGUACUAUAUAAUAGUUAAAACUUUCAACAACGGAUCUCUUGGUUCUG